Molecule: long non-coding RNA, 1227 nt
Organism: Agrilus planipennis (emerald ash borer)
Lineage: Eukaryota; Metazoa; Arthropoda; Insecta; Coleoptera; Buprestidae
Exons: 2
Source: RefSeq, a predicted model, not a curated record
AUAUGUUUCGUUAAGUAGGUAUGCAUUUAUUGUUUAUUUUAAAAAUCAAUCUUUAAUUAAAUUAAAUCUUUAAUAUGUGCUUGAGCUAACAACAGCCUUUGUUUCAUUUAUCGAUUUCCUUUUCGUACAUUUUGUUUUUAAAUAAACAUAGUAUAAGAUGUGACAAUAACAGAUGCAGUCAUCGCGUAUAUGUGAAAUCUGUGACUUUUAUCCAAAGCAUUCAAAAAUCGGAAAAAGACAGUCCGUGAAAUAGUACAUGAAGCGCAAAGAUCAAUAUUCACACUAAAGAUCUAAAAGAAGCACAUGCAGAAUCCGAUUUUAGUAAAAAAAAUAAAAUUGAUCAAUAAUAACGAGGACACAACUGAUCAACCCACCUUGGUACAUCAACAAAGGGCCCAGGCAAACUUGGUCUCCAUACGUAAGCAACAAGGAUCCAACCAAUGGUUUCGAGGUUCGUCAUGUUUCGCAACCGCUGGUGUUCAGUGGGACACAACUACCUACCCAAAACCAAGGGGCAACCCUACAAACAAGUGAGGUCUCCUAAGAAAAACCAGGAAAGCAAUCCUGCAAGCAAAUGAGGUCUUAUCAACACAUUGAAAUAACGAUCACACGCAACAGUCACCGAAUUUCAAAAAGUUACUCUACUUAAUGGGCAGGGUCUCUCAACUUACAACAUGGUAUCCCGAAGUAUUUUUAGGUGUUAUGAGAGAAGAGUUAGAAAGUGUUAAUUUUUAUUACAGCAAGUUUGUUAACACGACUAACGAAAAAACUGGAAUGAUGGAGUACACUUAGAUAAUAAUAUUGUUAAGACUUGGAUAUUUUUAUUAGGUUAUAUUUAUUUUAAAAUUUCCUAUUUCUAUAAUUUAAUUUCAUUCUAAUUCUUUUUCGUAGAAUGUAAGUUGUAUUGUAUUCAUAUUAAAACCUUCUAUCGGUAUAGAUACCAAAAUCACUAUCAUUCAGGUAAGUGGAUUUUGCCAAAAGGUAGUUGUACAUUUAUCUGACCCUGUUGCUACAGACAUUUGCACCCUCUAUGCUAAAGUGAGCUAUUCUCGCCCGCUUAAAUAUGCAUAUUUUAACCAAAAACAUACAUUCACAUUCCAGCGGUUGAAUCAUUAACACAUUAUUUGUAUUCAAUCAACUUUAUCAUUUUUUGCAUUUCAAUUUAAUAAUCUUAUACAAUUUUGUAUUUAUUUAGUGUUAAGAUUGUAAACAAAGUUUUCACUGUUG